CCAAGAUACGCAACGUCAAUUAUUCUUCCUCUCUCUUCUACCAAUGGCAAGCACCGAUCGUCGGAAAUCAUGCAAACAGAUACAUCGCAGGAAAAGACAAAAACUGUUUGACGAAACCGGAAGAAAUCUGGAAAUCAGAUAAUUUACUUGCAACAAUUUCUGUAAUAUAAAACAUGAAAAUUAAUUAAUUAAGAACUAAGAAAAUCAAAGUUCUAAAAACAAUUUCUUCUUUCCACGUUAAAAAACAUCUCGUAUACGUACAAAGUAUACGAAUGUGUAUGUACAUGUGUGUGCACUGCUUGACAGUUUUACACGGAAAUGCCUGCGUUGCCAAAAGAUUUAAUUAUAUUUCUGGAUAAUUUUAUUUCUAACUUGCACCAAUAACAGGUCACAUCGAUAAAUACAGACAAGUAGUCGAUUAUGUUACAAUAUAUAAUGAAUUAUUUUCUUCGAAGACUGCAACACAUACAUGAUCUAUUUCAUCGAUACAUAAUUCGCAUCUAAUUAAUUAGCCUGAAUCUAUCAAGCUAUAACAGAUAUAACACAGAUAACGCUCUUGUACGCAAAGAAUAAAUAAACUAGUUGCAUCGCAACUUAUUCGAAAUGCACAAUCAAAGCAAAGUAGCUUGUAAAUCCUAUAUCAGAUCAUGUAGCUACGCGCGUGUAGCAACUUAUUCUAAUUAGUGUUUAAAAAUAAGAGCGCACGUAUAUAAGCGUAACACACUUUUUUUUAUACAUUUUGUUUUUAUUCUUGUUAUUGUGAUUACUCAUAGCAGAAUAAAUAUAUAUAUAUAUAUAUCAAGCGAAAAUUGGAAUGUUCCUCUUUCUUGGAAUACGCCACAGAUAGUGGAGAAUCAUUGACAAGUAUUGACUAAAAUUUCUGUCCUAUACGUAAUAACUAUCCUCUAAUUACAAUUGUUGUAAUUUCUCUGGAACGUAUGUGUAAUCGGUAUGUGCAUGUUUAUUCAAUUCGCGUACAAUAUACAUGUACACUUGCGAAUGCACUCAACAAUAAAUACACGGCAUACGAGAAUAUAACAAGUGUAUCUCUUUACAUAUAACUACGUUAUUGCUAGUCGGGAUAAUUAAAAGUGGAACACUAUAACGCGUCUGCUUUCUUCGAAACAAAAGUCAACCCGCUGUUUUUUUUACAAACAAUUCUUUCUCAACUAUAAUGAGCAGUAUUUCCCAAUGUUAUGUCUCGAUCAUUACAUCAUUACAUCAGCCUGUCAGCCCCCUCAUGGACUUUGCUUAAAUUUUACAUAAGUUUUACGCGAUACUUAAUAGAUGAAAACAAAAUAGCUUUUGUUAUAUAAUAAAAAGUGUACUUAA
Ooceraea biroi (clonal raider ant) is the source of this 1332-nucleotide long non-coding RNA. RefSeq lists it as uncharacterized. The record is from RefSeq and is a predicted model, not a curated record. Lineage: Eukaryota; Metazoa; Arthropoda; Insecta; Hymenoptera; Formicidae.